AUGAAAGUAAAGGAUGCUGCCGACCGCAAUGAGGCUCUUGAAAAGGAGCGCUUAUCGGAGCGGGAAGACCUGAAGAAGGCCACCGCCGAAGCCAAGGAUGCCCGCUCUGCAAUGCGGGCUAUGAAGGAGGAGCUGCGCCAGGCCGGAGAGAUCGUGGCUGGCAAGCCUUUUCUGCUGCGUCGCCGAUUUAUGGAUGGAAAGUAUGCUCAAUUUGAGCGGCUGUGGAGUCCGGAGGAUCCGUAUAUGGACUUAGCUGCAAGUGCGACUGACGCCGUUAAGCACUUCCGGAGCCAGAAGGAUCAUAAGACGGAAGAGCUAUAUUGGUCUCAAUUCCACAGUCCGGAUCACCCACUUCCAUUGACAGACCGGUUGGCCGAAUGGGCCGAGCUAAAUAGAUUGUCCGGACUUGCCAUGACUGACAUCAUGGCCCAUGUCUGGCCAGAGAGGUCCAAGGCGACGAGCUAUUUUGGUUUAUUACAGCAAUUCCUUGGAGCGGUGCCGCGUAUAAAGGAGAUGAAGCGGUUGGCCUGUAUAGAGGGCGCGCGGAUGGCUCUUGCCCGUGUAAAGGCGUAUUGUCCAGAGAUGGACGCCACCGCUGUUGCUGCCCAGGGUUCGGAUGAAAACCGGCUCCCUGCCGAGCACUAUUUCGGGGAAGUUAUGCGUGGCGCUCAUGUAAUAGAGUCGCAGUGCUCGAAGAAUGUAACGUUCAAAUGA
Molecule: ribosomal RNA, 714 nt
Filed under: Triticum aestivum (bread wheat)
Lineage: Eukaryota; Viridiplantae; Streptophyta; Magnoliopsida; Poales; Poaceae
Description: partial small subunit ribosomal RNA
Source: RNAcentral